Molecule: non-coding RNA, 171 nt
Organism: Niastella vici
Lineage: Bacteria; Pseudomonadati; Bacteroidota; Chitinophagia; Chitinophagales; Chitinophagaceae
Source: Rfam
UCCUCCGUGAGGAGGAAUCUGAAGGAAGCCGGCGGUAAAUCUCCGGCCUGACGAACAGGAGGCGGAUGAGGCAAUUAUCUGUGGGCGAGUUUGCAAAUCAAAACAAAGCCCUAAACUAUCCGAAACAGGUAGUUGUAUAUCUGACAGGUAUAUGGAGAGAAAGUUUGCGCA